This 2895-nucleotide long non-coding RNA is filed under the name Panax ginseng (ginseng). RNAcentral's name for it is "long non-coding RNA (PGIN_LNC007938)". The record is from RNAcentral. Lineage: Eukaryota; Viridiplantae; Streptophyta; Magnoliopsida; Apiales; Araliaceae.
UUCUGAUUUUAUAAAAGCAAUAAAGAUAUUCUAGAUGGAAACUUAGAAACAUAUAUAAAGGACACAGACAAUGCCAAAUAGAAUAUAGAAAUGUUUCAUAAUACACUUGUUACAAAACACGUCAAAAUAAUUAGCCAACUACUAGGAGUGGAGCUGAACCUGACCUUUUUCUUGAAGCAUUAUUUCCUUAUUUAAUAUGCUCAAAUGGUGGAAAUUGUCAUAUCAAGUGAGAAUGUGAGAACAAUAUGGAAGUUGUCAACUACCCCUCAGUAACUGAAAACUACCCGGCCAUGUCUCGCCAUCAUAGAGACAUUGGGAGUAGCAGGGCUAAACAUGCCACCAAAUCUGUAUGUAAAACAAAAAGUAACAUGAAGAGAAAAAGAAAAAUUCUGAAGCGAAAAAAAAAAUUAGAUAGAAUACUAAGGAUAGGUGUAAAAAGGAACUAUAUUUUAGACGUGGUUCCUCUACAACUGCUGCAGGUCUCCGAGACUGCCACCCUUAAAAAAAUGCCAGAGCUAUUCAACCAUCCAACUUAUAAGUGAAAAUUGUUAUAAACUUGCAUUUCCAUUUAUCAGUCAAUGUGCAUAACAUGUCCUCUCAGUGAUCAUCAAGAAGCUCUAAAUAUUAGAUAUCUGUUCAAAUUUGCAUGAAAAGGAAAAAAGUAAAAUGUAAGAAAGUCAAAGCCCCUUACAUCUAUUGUCAAAUGACAUCUCUAAGGUGCCCCAGAAGAGUUCUUAUUAAUGACUCAAUUAAUAUUCUUACUUUUAGGGAAAACCAUGAGAGAUGAAAGCAUUUCUAACUUCAGAAGUAGACCUCAGUGUAAUUACAUAAUUUAAAACUAAUGAAUGGAGACGCUGCACAUCAUCCCCGAAGACCGGAUCACAAGCAGCAAAGCUAUAUCCACCCCAAUUUUGUGUAAAAAGGUCGCCAUUGCCUUCAAUGGCCCUUCACAUGCCACCACCAAUUCUCAACUGAGGCGGAUUAAUGGCACCACUACCCACAUCCUUUAGCAACCUUUACUAGUAGAACUAUUGUCACUUUUAAUCCCAUUCUCGUUACUUGUCACCAAAAUCUAACCACUUGGAGUAUCAUAUAACUAGAGUCACCAACACCACCUGUAGAGCACAGUUGCACUGCCAGCCACAUAAACACAACAUGUAAUGCAAUGCGCUGAAAUAUAAUAUAGAUAUGCACAAUAAGGGUAAAGUGGGAAAUACCCUGGGCAUACUUACCUCAUCAAACCCUACCUUAGAAGCUUUCAAUAACCAAAAACCCACCACAAAAUCAAUAUAGGUAAAUAGGUAUACCAAGUUUGCUAAGGUGGACUACACAGAAGUGCUUUAUCAACACUUACUAAGUAUUACUGCCAUCACAAAUGCUGAAAAGCUAUUCACCCCUUGAACCCUUGCCAGUUCCAACACUUGCAAUCACUCAAAAAAAUUGUGUAAAUCCAAAUAUAAAUGUGAAGUUCUGUUCUUACAUUCAGGAUCAUUACUGACCGAUGUGAAAGUUGCAAAUUAGUGGCCUAUAGGUGUCAAAAUGUUUAACUGUCAUUAGGAAGCUGGGAAUACUCUCUGAGAAAACAGUUGAGGAUUUCAGGCUACCUAUUGAGUAAAUACUUAUAUAGGUGGAGUUAAGUAAUUUCUUUCUUCGUUUUUUUUUCUUUUUCCUUCACUCUAUUGUGUUUACUUGUGUGAUUGCGAGGGGAGUGUUACGCUGGAUCUUUUAGAACCAAUUCAGAAGCUUUAUGAAUCUUUUUGCUCGACUCAAGUAAACAGUGGAUUGUACUGCUUAUAUAAAGUAUUCGGGUGCAGAUUAUUUAGGAGAAAACUGGUGACAACCAAUAAAUCUUUCAAAAUACAAAGGAUUAAAUGUUUGCAAUUUUGUCGACACACUUUCAAUAUUUCUGUUCAACUUUGGAAUAUUAAAUUUUAUCAGUGGCAUAGUAUAUCCUGCCUUAAGAAACUGACCAUGUAAGCUCCAAAAAAAAAUUAUUGAUCAACUUGGAUAGUCAUUUGAAUUUUAAAUUCUUUUAUUUUGCCUAAAAUAUCCAUUCAAUAUACUCUACCUUUAACCAUUUACUUGUACUAAUGUAGACCAUUGCAAAUAUAAAAUUAUAAUUUCCAGGAAUGUUUAUAACAGUUGUGAACACUGAGAUUGUUUGAUAAUGUCCAAUUUUAGUCUAGAAAGAUCCUCUGCCAGAUAUACAAUGAGAUUGAUCAAAUACAUUUGUAUAUUUCACUUAAAACAACCUUUUCCAAACUACUUGGCAAUAAGUCCUGACAACACAAAUUAUACUUCCUAAUUUUUUAUGAGAUUAUACUAUCCUCAACAUAAUACUAGGUUUUCAAUUUGAACUUCUUAUCCCUAAUAGCACAUCUCGACGCAAUUGUAUUUAUUUAAUCAUAAAUAAAAUCAUUGUAUUUAAGCUAAAUGGACAUACAUAUGACCAGCAUUACAUGGUUGAUAAAUAACAACGCCAACAUAAAUUAAUAAAAUAAACCAACACCACAAAAUCCCACAACAUGUAUAGUAAGAACAAAUGUGUACAAGCAAAAUUAACUAACAAAAAAAUGUGUACAAGCAAAUAAAUCAGUCAGAAGAAUGGACCCAUUACCUUAGUUGCUCUGAAAUAGAACUGACUCAAUGAUUGGAUGGCAUUGUUCACUGAAUCGGAAUAAUAAAAACGAGCCUGUUUGUGUGACGAAAUGCUCUAGAAGACCCAAUUAGCUCAUAAUAUCGGCUGAAUAGAGGUUCUCGCUCAGCGAACCGAUGCAUGUAAUGUAAUACAUGAUCUCCUUCUUUAUCUUCUGUAUUCCUAAACCCCACUGAUUUGCAGGGACGAAAUAUCAUUCUUUUGUUUUCGGGUUUGUUUUUUCCUCUUUUAAAUUUCAC